Electrophorus electricus (electric eel) is the source of this 126-nucleotide small nuclear RNA. Its record names the gene U1. It matches the Rfam family "U1 spliceosomal RNA". Rfam says of the family: U1 is a small nuclear RNA (snRNA) component of the spliceosome (involved in pre-mRNA splicing). Its 5' end forms complementary base pairs with the 5' splice junction, thus defining the 5' donor site of an intron. NCBI's taxonomy places the organism in Eukaryota, Metazoa, Chordata, Actinopteri, Gymnotiformes, Gymnotidae. The record is from Ensembl.
AUAUUUACCUCGCAGGGGUGAGAUCAUGGUUAGGAAAGGGUUUUGCCCAAGGCGAGGCUCAGCCAUUGCACUUCGGCUGUACUGACCCUUGUGAAUUCCCCAAAUGCGGGACUCUCGUCUGUUUGC